Molecule: ribosomal RNA, 498 nt
Filed under: uncultured bacterium
Lineage: Bacteria
Description: partial 16S ribosomal RNA
Rfam family: Bacterial small subunit ribosomal RNA
Source: RNAcentral
GAUGAACGCUGGCGGCGUGCCUAAUACAUGCAAGUCGAGCGAACGGACGAGAAGCUUGCUUCUCUGAUGUUAGCGGCGGACGGGUGAGUAACACGUGGAUAACCUACCUAUAAGACUGGGAUAACUUCGGGAAACCGUAGCUAAUACCGGAUAAUAUUUUGAACCGCAUGGUUCAAAAGUGAAAGACGGUCUUGCUGUCACUUAUAGAUGGAUCCGCGCUGCAUUAGCUAGUUGGUAAGGUAACGGCUUACCAAGGCAACGAUGCAUAGCCGACCUGAGAGGGGGGACGGGCAAACUGGAACUGAGACACGGUCCAGAACCCUACGGGAGGCAGCCGGAGGGAAGCUUCCGCAAGGGGCGAAAGCCUGACGGAGCAACGCCGCGGGAGUGAUGAAGGUCCUCGGAUCGUAAAAAUCUGUUAUUAGGGAAGAAAAUAUGUGUAAGUAACUGUGCAAAUCUUGACGGUAACUAAUCAGAAAGCCACGGCUAACGACGUGC